Molecule: ribosomal RNA, 660 nt
Filed under: uncultured bacterium
Lineage: Bacteria
Description: bacterial SSU rRNA
Rfam family: Bacterial small subunit ribosomal RNA
Source: RNAcentral
AGUGGCGGACGGGUGAGUAACGCGUGAUAAUCUGCCUUGGGGUCGGGGACAACCACUGGAAACGGUGGCUAAUACCGGAUACGCCUUCGGGUAAAAGAUUUAUUGCCCUAAGAGGAGCUCGCGUCUGAUUAGCUAGUUGGUGAGGUAAGAGCUCACCAAGGCAGCGAUCAGUAGCUGGUCUGAGAGGACGAUCAGCCACACUGGGACUGAGACACGGCCCAGACUCCUACGGGAGGCAGCAGUGGGGAAUUUUCCGCAAUGGGCGAAAGCCUGACGGAGCAAGACCGCGUGAGGGAGGAAGGCUCUUGGGUUGUAAACCUCUUUUCUCAGGGAAGAAGCUCUGACGGUACCUGAGGAAUCAGCCUCGGCUAACUCCGUGCCAGCAGCCGCGGUAAUACGGAGGAGGCAAGCGUUAUCCGGAAUUAUUGGGCGUAAAGCGUCCGCAGGUGGCGAUUCAAGUCUGCUGUCAAAGCACGGGGCUUAACUCCGUAAAGGCAGUGGAAACUGAAUAGCUAGAGUGCCGUAGGGGUAGAGGGAAUUCCCGGUGUAGCGGUGAAAUGCGUAGAGAUCGGGAAGAACAUCGGUGGCGAAAGCGCUCUACUGGACGGCAACUGACACUCAGGGACGAAAGCUAGGGGAGCGAAUGGGAUUAGAUACCCC